AGUGAACGCUGGCGGUAGGCCUAACACAUGCAAGUCGAACGGCAGCACAGUGAGAGCUUGCUCUUACGGGUGGCGAGUGGCGGACGGGUGAGGAAUACAUCGGAAUCUACUUUUUCGUGGGGGAUAACGUAGGGAAACUUACGCUAAUACCGCAUACGACCUACGGGUGAAAGCAGGGGAUCUUCGGACCUUGCGCGAUUGAAUGAGCCGAUGUCGGAUUAGCUAGUUGGCGGGGUAAAGGCCCACCAAGGCGACGAUCCGUAGCUGGUCUGAGAGGAUGAUCAGCCACACUGGAACUGAGACACGGUCCAGACUCCUACGGGAGGCAGCAGUGGGGAAUAUUGGACAAUGGGCGCAAGCCUGAUCCAGCCAUACCGCGUGGGUGAAGAAGGCCUUCGGGUUGUAAAGCCCUUUUGUUGGGUAAGAAAAGCGGCAGGUUAAUACCCCGCUGUUCUGACGGUACCCAAAGAAUAAGCACCGGCUAACUUCGUG
This 492-nucleotide ribosomal RNA is filed under the name uncultured bacterium. RNAcentral's name for it is "partial 16S ribosomal RNA". It matches the Rfam family "Bacterial small subunit ribosomal RNA", at positions 29 to 507 of the family's 1533-position model. The record is from RNAcentral.